Molecule: non-coding RNA, 727 nt
Organism: Nelumbo nucifera (sacred lotus)
Lineage: Eukaryota; Viridiplantae; Streptophyta; Magnoliopsida; Proteales; Nelumbonaceae
Source: RefSeq, a predicted model, not a curated record
UAUUACCAAUGUAAGAUUGGGAAAUGCUGUUAGAACGGUAAGGGCACUAAUUUACCCUGAUGGAAGCCGAUCUCACCAUUUCGGUAAUAAAAUUGUGCAGAUUGCACCUUUCUCUCUCUCUGAUACACUAAUGAUUAGCCCUCAGUCAUCUCUUCCCUCUAUCCGGAUGAAUCCGGAAAUAGCUAAUGAGGGCCUACGAUGAUAAUUACACGAUCCGAUCAUCUUGACUAAUUAAAUUUCUGAAGUGGGUUCUUUUUCGGUUGAUUCCUCUGUUUUCUUUUUCUGCUCAAGCUUUGCUCUGUUAGUUGCCUUCUCUUGCAAAUUUAACUUGUGCUUGAAAGCGAUCAGUGUAGAGAUGGGGUGUCGGCCAUAGAUCGAUAAGGUAUUGAGUCAGCAACUAGAAUCGAGAAAAGAGUAAUAGCUAUUUAAUAAUUGCAUCCACUCACAGAAAGGCUUUCAUGAGUGGGGGUUAACUUGUUAUGGAGAAACCAGUGCUCGUCCUCAGCAAAAAUGCUCGUUUCUAUGCGAUUGUGAAGCCAAUUCACGAGGAUGUGAAGCCUGAGAGGUGGGUAUGUAUGUAGUCUUUUUGUUUAGAUUCUCUUUGCAUUUUAUUAUUAGUUUUACAAUUAGUCUGUUUCUGCUUGAUGGGUUCUAAGUUAGAAACCCCUUCGGUUUUGCAAUAAGAAGUUAGAUUUGGCAUCUAUGAGGAGAGACAGUUUGCAGUUUC